This 588-nucleotide unclassified non-coding RNA is filed under the name Hevea brasiliensis (rubber tree). Lineage: Eukaryota; Viridiplantae; Streptophyta; Magnoliopsida; Malpighiales; Euphorbiaceae. The record is from RNAcentral.
UCCCCUGCACCUCCAAGUAUUUCUACAUUUACACAAGCAGUCAAAUACAGCUAGAAGUUAGGAAUUGGUUCAUCUCCAAAACGUAACCUUAAGCAAUCAUUUCAAUUCUAAUCAAUUCAGAAUCUGAAAGUAAUAAUGUGAACUUCUAUGUUGUUUCCUAAGGAGAAGGUAUAGUUAACUUAAAAACAGUGUACAAACUACUUUCUGUAUAAAAAUCUUGAAAAUACAUUUCAGUGGAUUAACCAAUAGAUAGAAAAAAGAGGAGGAGAAGGGUGGGGUGGUAGUACAUUAGAAGUAAACUAAAAUAGUACAAAAAUGGGUAAUGAUGCAUCAUGCAAAUUUUCUUAGCAACAUUAGUCGAAACUCCUAAGGGAUCAAGUUUUAGCAUGCACGAAUUACAUAUUGCCAUUUAGGAUAAUACAUUUCAGUUCUCUACCACUAAGAAAGUUCCUUUUGGUUAUAUUUUACUGUAAUUGAGCAUCGAACACUUGCAAUAUGCCAGAGAAUAACCUGAGAAUCUUCAAAAAAUAAAAAUAACUUAUCAAGCCUCUUGUUAAAUCCAACCUUCCAACUUUGUCAAUGACUUUA